Molecule: ribosomal RNA, 913 nt
Filed under: uncultured archaeon
Lineage: Archaea
Description: bacterial SSU rRNA
Rfam family: Archaeal small subunit ribosomal RNA
Source: RNAcentral
UUCCGGUUGAUCCUGCCGGACCUGACUGCUAUCGGAUUGAUACUAAGCCAUGCGAGUCUUUGUAGCAAUACAAGGCAGACGGCUCAGUAACACGUAGUCAAUCUAACCUAUGGACGAGGAUAACCUCGGGAAACUGAGAAUAAUACUCGAUAGAUCAUUAUGCCUGGAAUGGUUUAUGGUCCAAAUGAAUUUCGCCAUAGGGUGGGACUGCGGUCUAUCAGCUUGUUGGUGAGGUAAUGGCCCACCAAGGCUAUAACAGAUACGGGCUCUGAGAGGAGAGGCCCGGAGAUGGGUACUGAGACACGGACCCAGGCCCUAUGGGGCGCAGCAGGCGAGAAAACUUUGCAAUGUGCGAAAGCACGACAAGGUUAAUCCGAGUGGUUCCUGCUAAAGGAAUCUUUUGUUAGUCGUAACACCACUGAUGAAUAAGGGGUGGGCAAGUUCUGGUGUCAGCCGCCGCGGUAAAACCAGCACCUCAAGUGGUCAGGAGGAUUAUUGGGCCUAAAGCAUCCGUAGCCUGCUUUGUAAGUUUUCGGUUAAAUCUAUACGCUCAACGUAUGGGCUGCCGGGAAUACUGCAAAGCUAGGGAGUGGGAGAGGUAGACGGUACUCCGUAGGAAGGGGUAAAAUCCUUUGAUCUAUGGAUGACCACCUGUGGCGAAGGCGGUCUACCAGAACACGUCCGACGGUGAGGGAUGAAAGCUGGGGGAGCAAACCGGAUUAGAUACCCGGGUAGUCCCAGCUGUAAACAAUGCAAACUCAGUGAUGCAUUGGCUUGUGGCCAGUGCAGUGCCGCAGGGAAGCCGUUAAGUUUGCCGCCUGGGAAGUACGUACGCAAGUAUGAAACUUAAAGGAAUUGGCGGGGGAGCACCACAAGGGGUGAAGCCUGCGGUUCAAUUGGACUCAACGCCGGA